Molecule: ribosomal RNA, 494 nt
Filed under: uncultured bacterium
Lineage: Bacteria
Description: partial 16S ribosomal RNA
Rfam family: Bacterial small subunit ribosomal RNA
Source: RNAcentral
GACGAACGCUGGCGGCGUGCUUAACACGUGCAAGUCGAACGGUGAAGCGCCUUCCUUUUUGGUGGGUGUGGAUGAGUGGCGAACGGGUGAGUAACACGUGAGUAACCUGCCCCCUUCUUCUGGAUAACCGCAUGAAAGUGUGGCUAAUACGGGAUAUUCUGGGUCUGUCGCAUGAUGGGUCUGGGAAAGAUAUUGUUUCGGUGGGGGAUGGGCUCGCGGCCUAUCAGCUUGUUGGUGGGGUGAUGGCCUACCAAGGCGGUGACGGGUAGCCGGCCUGAGAGGGUGGACGGUCACACUGGGACUGAGACACGGCCCAGACUCCUACGGGAGGCAGCAGUGGGGAAUAUUGCACAAUGGGCGCAAGCCUGAUGCAGCGACGCCGCGGGAGGGAUGGAGGCCUUCGGGUUGUGAACCUCUUUCGCCAGUGAAGCAGGCCUGCCUCGUUUGUGGGUGGGUUGACGGUAGCUGGAUAAGAAGCGCCGGCUAACUACGUG